UACGUAGGGGGCAAGCGUUGUCCGGAAUCAUUGGGCGUAAAGAGCGUGUAGGCGGCCCGAUAAGUCCGCUGUGAAAGUCCAGGGCUCAACCCUGGGAUGCCGGUGGAUACUGUCGGGCUCGAGUCCGGAAGAGGAGUGUGGAAUUCCUGGUGUAGCGGUGAAAUGCGCAGAUAUCAGGAGGAACGCCAAUGGCGAAGGCAGCACUCUGGGACGUGACUGACGCUGAGACGCGAAAGCGUGGGGAGCAAACAGG
RNAcentral lists this ribosomal RNA (253 nucleotides) under uncultured bacterium. RNAcentral describes it as "partial 16S ribosomal RNA". It matches the Rfam family "Bacterial small subunit ribosomal RNA", at positions 524 to 776 of the family's 1533-position model. The record is from RNAcentral.